UGUGGGGAGGGAAGCGUUUUUUUACUAUAUAUUUUUUAAAAUUUUCUUUAUCUCCCCACCUUGCCCCCUUCCCAAUUGCUUAUUCGGAACAUGGAGAAUUAUCGAGCCAUUUUUUUAAGUGUGUUUUUACAAUGGUUUUCUCUUAUCUUCACCGCUCCAAGUUUUGAUUAUUGGCAUGCAAGUGGGAGGAAAAUUCAUUCAUUCUCCAUACCUAUUUUGAUGUUGAAUUAAGAUAACAAUGUCAUUCCAAGAAGAGGACCCUUUGAAGAUGCAAUCAAAAGGAGAGAACAUUGUUUGUCUAUGACUGAUUGUUAGAUGAUGAAUGUAUUAUGUAAAUGCCUGUAUCGUAGUUAAGUCCGAUAAAUCAAAAUGUCUCGGAAAGUCUAUCUCGAUUCGUACCCUAUCUGUAUAUGGGUCAGGAUGAGACUUUUUUGGCACGCU
This 441-nucleotide small RNA is filed under the name Malus domestica (apple). Its description in RNAcentral is "sRNA MD02G0220100". The record is from RNAcentral. Lineage: Eukaryota; Viridiplantae; Streptophyta; Magnoliopsida; Rosales; Rosaceae.